This is a long non-coding RNA of Oreochromis aureus, 2670 nucleotides long. RefSeq lists it as uncharacterized. Lineage: Eukaryota; Metazoa; Chordata; Actinopteri; Cichliformes; Cichlidae. The record is from RefSeq and is a predicted model, not a curated record. The transcript is spliced from 3 exons.
AGCAAAAGGUUAUAUUACAAUCUGCAGAGAAGAAUAAUUGCUUUCCAAAGUAGCCAUGCUUUAAUUUAGACCCUACUUCCCAUUAUACUCCUUUGUUGGUUAGUUGGACUUUUAGUCAGUCUAAAUUACAUACCUAUAAUUUUGGAAUAUCUAAUCACAAUUUCAAUUAAUGUUCUGGUAAAUAUAAACUAUGAGUGUAAUACAUUUAUUUGUAUUAUAUUGCUGGUUAAGAUGAAGUGUUUGCCUUAAAAAAUCAAUUUCACAGACCCAUUUUACAGCAAACAUUUUGACUUGUCAAAGUAGGGAAAGUGUAUGAAUAAUGGCUGUAUUCCACUUAGGGGAGGUCCCCCUUUUGCACAUUCUGUUUUACUGCCAUGAAAUAGGAAACUUAAUGGAACUAGGAAAACAUUACUUUGACCUGCUCCUCCCCUACUGUGACAACUAAAAAUACACAGACGGGUGACAAAUUCAAGUAAAAACUACUCGCUGUAAUGCCCUUUAAUUUGUCAUCUGUCUUACUGCAGUCUAAAAUGGCCUAGCUUUGCAAACUUGGAAUAAGCCCACUGCUAAACUAAAACAUUUAUUAACUGUCUGAUAAUACUACAAUUCACUAACACCAGGUUCACAAACAAUGUUGCAAUACAGCGUCUGGCCACUAGUGGCAGCAGUGCGGCCAUUCACCGCAGGUGAGCGACAAAACGAUGACGUCUUGUAUGUAACUUGUGUCCCAGGAGCUGAGGUCUGUGAGCGUCUAUUCAUCCUUGACAUACUGGAACUGAUGAGGAUACACCUCCUGCCUCCCACACUGACCACAAAGCAGUCAGCCUUAGUCUGUGACUCCUUCCAGCCUAUAAAAUCGCCCUGUGUGCUUCCCUCCCCCAUUGCUUGUCACCGUCCAGUCCCCUGGGGCGUCUGUCUGGGAUCUGCCAGGCUCAUCAGUGAGGAGAGGAGAGGAGAAGGCUAACUGGGAGCCCUUACUGGCUGUAAAUCCAGGGAGGGUGGAGAACCUGCAGCGGCCACACGUCCACUGCAGCCCAGUAAGUCCAGCUGCCACCUCUCUUCCCCCCAACCCCCAGUACACUUAAGACCCUUACAAUCCAUCUGCAUGUGCAAAUACAUUCACACAAGUACUCAACAAGGGUUUCUUCUCCUACUGUUCAAAGUUAACCUAACUUAAUCCUGUUGCAACCUGACCCAAGGAAUUGGAUUUAACACUCUUUUUUUUUUUUUACAUGUGCACCAGGUAUUUUGAUGCAGACACUCUGUCUCUUUAUAUAAAGGUAGAGAGAAUUAACGUGUGUGUCUGUGUUUGUUAUUGUUAAUCUUUUGCAAUACUGUCAAUUUUGCCUCCUGUUAAAACAAUAAAUGAAAUGAUUAUAGGCCUGUAUCUGUGGGCAAAUUGUCUGUAUGAAUACGCAUAUCGUUGGACUCAAGAAGAGUUUCUAUUUGUGCUCAAGUGUUUAUUAUUUCCUUGAAGGAGGAUGACAGCAAAUGUUUGCUGCUAAUGAGGUGAUCAGAGUUCUAGUUGUGUCUAAGAAGUGAGACAUAUUAUUUAAUCCAUGGUGCUAUGCAGAGGUAAUUUCAGUCUCAGAGUAGUCAUAAAGUGCUGGAAGCCUAGCACAGAUCUCGACUGCAAUGCAGUGAGAGGGCCCUUCUCUCUCAUACAUACAUUUAGCUGGGUGUGAUACCAUUCCAUACACAUAGACACACACCCUCCCUCUCCUUAUCUGAGAAAUAAGCAUUUUUACAGAGUUUGAGCUGUAAAAGGAGAGGAGCAGAUAGCCCAUAAAUCUAGCCAUAAAAACGUUAAGUUGUCAGAGGUGCCAUCAGCUAUCAAUCGUGUGCGGCAAGCUGAUGAAGGGGAAAUAGGUGAUAAAAAACAGCAUUUUAGGGAAAUUAUGUCCAGUCUUCCAUUUGCGAAGUGCUGCAGUCGCAUCACUGCAGAAUCUUAAUCACUGGCUGGUGUGGUCAGGGACUGUUCCUCGGUGUGACAGUGAGGAGGAGCACACCCUAGUGGGAGGGUGGGAUAUGGAGGAGGCAAGAAGAGCCGUAGCAAGGGGGGAGGGGGUGCAUUGGUGUGGGGGCAGCGUUGUAGAAAAUUAUACAACUACCAUAAAUCACUUCUACACUACCGUUUUUUUUCCUCUCCCUCAAUUUCUCACUUCCCCCAUCCCCACACUCGUGCUCUGCCUCUUUCUCUGUUUCUUUCUGUACCUCAAGGCUGUGCAUCUUCUUCUUCUCAUUUGCACUCCCACCCUGACGGUCCCCCUGGCUUUCCGCCCUUUAUUCUUCUUUCAGUCCCUGGCGAUGUUCUUUAUUCGAAGCACUGUUGGUUACUCUCACUUCCCCAUUCUCUAUCUGUCUCAGCUUCAUUUACACUGUGGUUUGUUUACAUGCUUUCUUUAUUGAUCUGCUUUUUGUUGCCUAGCAGGGAUUUAUCUCCUGUCCAUGGGACUGUAUUAGUAAACCUCGAAAUUGACCUGUCUCUCUGAGAUGGUUCCGAUAUAGUCUGUUCUUGAAAUAAAAGAAAAUGCCAUCUUGUCUGCAGCUUAUUUCACAUUUUAUCAGACAGCACUGUGACGGGAUUCCUGGUUGCUUCUUUAUUGGGGAUUUUUUCCAAAUAGAAAAACAACCAGUGAUGCUUUUAUAUGCUGAGGCAUUCUACUAUAA